CUUCCUAAGAGACCACGCACUUUGGUUUCAUAACUUUUAUCGAGCUUGAGAUUGGUAAUCUUCAAGCCCGGUUCGAUUGGAGUUGAGAUACUAUUCGAAUUAGAUAAACCGUAAUCAUUAACUAACUGCUCGAUAUAUGAAUUUUGAUGUAUUUCCAACUUUUCUUUACUACGAUUAAUUUCCAUUCCAAUGAACUUCUUGCAUUGUUCCAGGUCUCUGAUUCCAAAACGCUCAUUCAAUCGCUUGACCAACCACUCAAUUAGACGAUCAUCGCAACCUGUAAUUAGAAAAUCGUCUACGUAAACGACAAACACGCAACGUAGAGGAUUUUCGGCAUCGAAGUAGACACACGGAUCAACUUUGCUCCUUACGAAACCGAGCGAAAAUGCUGAAUACCAAACGUCUUUGAUCUCCAUCGCCUUUAACUCUUCAUCUAUCGCUACACGCCAAAAUUUCGACUCAGGACCGUUUAACGCUUCUUCAUACGUAAGGUCAUCGACCCCAGCGAGUGCAAAGCAAGCAAAAUCGUCGCUACGUUCAUCCGAAGAUGAUGUAUCGAUUAAACUACGACCUACUAAAUUAUCACCGCUACGUUCGGCUUCAGUCAGCUCAUCUGGGUUUAUCCAAUUGGAGCAACCAGGAGCUGAAUCAACGUUACUUACUGGUGUAACCGUAGGUACGAUAUUCACAUCGCUUACACUCACUGAUACCGAUGUUUUUAACAAAUGAUCGUUAAUAACAUCGUGUAUCUUACGCGUUUCGUCUACUUCUACGCAACUCGAAUUCGUAAAUUUAUUUCGUAAAACAUCGUACAAUACAUAACCUGUCUCUGUAAAACCGAGUAAAACCAUAUCGAUCGACUU
Long non-coding RNA from Planococcus citri (citrus mealybug), 863 nucleotides. RefSeq lists it as uncharacterized. The record is from RefSeq and is a predicted model, not a curated record. The transcript has 2 exons. NCBI's taxonomy places the organism in Eukaryota, Metazoa, Arthropoda, Insecta, Hemiptera, Pseudococcidae.